AUUGAACGCUGGCGGCAGGCCUAACACAUGCAAGUCGAGCGAGCGGCGGACGGGUGAGUAAUGUCUGGAAAACUGCCUGAUGGAGGGGGAUAACUACUGGAAACGGUAGCUAAUAACGCAUACCAUCGGAUGUGCCCAGAUUGUAUGAGCUAGUAGGUGGGGUAAAGGCUCACCUAAGCGACGAUCCCUAGCUGGUCUGAGAGGGUGACCAGCCACACUGUGACUGAGACACGGCCCAGACUCCUACGGGAGGCAGCAGUGGUGAAUAUUGCACAAGGGGCGCAAGCCUGAUUCAGCCAUGCCGCGUGUAUGAAGAAGGCCUUCGGGUUGUAAAGUACUUUCAGCGGGGAGGCGUUACCCGCAGAAGAAGCAACGGCUAACUCCGUGCCAGCCGCCGCGGUAAUUC
RNAcentral lists this ribosomal RNA (406 nucleotides) under uncultured bacterium. RNAcentral describes it as "partial 16S ribosomal RNA". It matches the Rfam family "Bacterial small subunit ribosomal RNA", at positions 30 to 526 of the family's 1533-position model. The record is from RNAcentral.